Long non-coding RNA from Homo sapiens (human), 1334 nucleotides. The record is from Ensembl. NCBI's taxonomy places the organism in Eukaryota, Metazoa, Chordata, Mammalia, Primates, Hominidae.
AGAGUUCUUCGCCUCGCGCCAGGAUUCUGAGGCCUCCCCAGCCAUGUGGAACUCAAUAUCCGGAGAGAGAGAGAGAGAUUCCUGUAGAAUACAAGACAAGACUAUCACAAUGAGCUGAAAUGUUGGGUCUGUGAAAGUAAUGAGAAGCACAGUGGAAAUAAGUUUCUGAAGGAUGGAAGAGGCUGGAGGCUGGCUAGUGGGAGAAGGUUCCCAGACACGUGAGAGACCCAGCAACAGGAUGCAGCAGGAAGAUGUUGUCUAUGACGUCAGAGCCCUCACCAGACACUUAAUUUGAUGGCAACUUGAUCUUGGACUUCUCAGUCUCCAGAACUAGUGCCACAUCAUUGUUAUUCCCCCAAGAUCCUGGAUUCCAGACAGCCCAGUGGAGCACCAUAGAAAGAACUUUCAGGAAGCAGAGAAUGGUUCAGGGAUUCUGAUUUUCCUGAACUUCCUCCUCCCUAUCCACCUCCAAUUAGGAAAAAAGAAGAAAAAAAAGAUUAAACACGUCCAGAAUGUUAAAAAUCCAGUAGGGAUUUUAAAUGUUCACUAUUACAGCACAUACAUUUAUACACAAGGAGGUCUGAAGGCUUUCUGGUUUCAAUUAAGAUUAUUAUCUCCUUUGAGUGAUGGUUUCUCCUUUUUUCCCCCAGAAUUCCCUUUGGCUGAUCUAUUUUAAAAGAGUAUGAGCUAGGGAUAACUAGGCUUAUUUGUAUUGAGUCUACUUUCCCCUCCAGGUCUCUUUGUCUUAAAUUCUGAAGUCCCUUUUCCUAUCCUGCUAAAGGUUAGCAGCUUGAAAUCAAGGACAUGAGUCAUUGUUACUUUUCAUGUGGAAGAUAAGCUCUGUGGCUUUUAUAGCAAAAAGUAUAUACAAUUCUAAAAUUAAAGUGCAAGUCAGAAAGGCCAUUGGGGCUGUGAAAAGUCCUUAUCUAAAUCAGAAGACCAAGGUCAAGUUUGUAUCAUGCCUAUUAGUACAUGGGUUUCAUUGGUUAAGUUACCAAACCUCUGAGCCUCAGUUUCCUUAUCAGUCAAAUGAGUGCAAUAAUUCCCGCCCUAUCAUCUGACAAAUUAUUGAGAAAUUCUAAUUACAUGCCUAUAAUUUUCAGGUCUUUGUUUUUCAGGUCUUUGUUAAGCAUCAUGCACAUAAACGUUUGUAUUACACUUUCUUUAGCAGUAUUUGAACAUGGUACCUUAUUCAAUGUUCUGAAACAAAUCAUGAAUACUUCCUGGUGUGGUGAUAAUAUCUUCAUAAACUUGUGACACCCGAUGGAAUGUGAGUCGGUUUUGUAAUAGCCUUUAAAAACUUCCCUCAAUACAUAAUAAAGAAUGGUAAAAAA